RNAcentral lists this unclassified non-coding RNA (200 nucleotides) under Phragmocephala sp. Its description in RNAcentral is "partial internal transcribed spacer 2". Lineage: Eukaryota; Fungi; Ascomycota; Dothideomycetes; Pleosporales; Melanommataceae. The record is from RNAcentral.
UUAAGUUCAGCGGGUAUCCCUACCUGAUCCGAGGUCAAAGUGAUAGAAUGGCUUGCUGGGAGGAGGCAGGCUGGAGUCGCAACGCAAUGUGCUGCGCACGAAGCCAACUUGCCGGCUGCCAAUGAAUUUGAGGCGAGUCCACGCACAGAGGCGGAACAAACACCCAACACCAAGCAGAGCUUGAAGGUUUAAAUGACGCU